GACGAACGCUGGCGGCGUGCUUAACACAUGCAAGUCGAACGGAAAGGCCCUGCUUUUGUGGGGUGCUCGAGUGGCGAACGGGUGAGUAACACGUGAGUAACCUGCCCUUGACUUUGGGAUAACUUCAGGAAACUGGGGCUAAUACCGGAUAGGAGCUCCUGCUGCAUGGUGGGGGUUGGAAAGUUUCGGCGGUUGGGGAUGGACUCGCGGCUUAUCAGCUUGUUGGUGGGGUAGUGGCUUACCAAGGCUUUGACGGGUAGCCGGCCUGAGAGGGUGACCGGCCACAUUGCGACUGAGAUACGGCCCAGACUCCUACGGGCGGCAGCAGUGGGGAAUAUUGCACAAUGGGCGGAAGCCUGAUGCAGCAACGCCGCGUGCGGGAUGACGGCCUUCGGGUUGUAAACCGCUUUCGCCUGUGACGAAGCGUGAGUGACGGUAAUGGGUAAAGAAGCACCGGCUAACUACGUG
Molecule: ribosomal RNA, 468 nt
Filed under: uncultured bacterium
Lineage: Bacteria
Description: partial 16S ribosomal RNA
Rfam family: Bacterial small subunit ribosomal RNA
Source: RNAcentral